ACUAUUUUGGCAGAUUAGUGCAAUAAAUUUAGAAUUUAUUUAUGUAAUUAUUAUUACAAAUAGUA
Molecule: transfer RNA, 65 nt
Filed under: Chymomyza amoena
Lineage: Eukaryota; Metazoa; Arthropoda; Insecta; Diptera; Drosophilidae
Description: tRNA-Leu
Source: RNAcentral